CAGGUCUUUAAGGCCACUGAGGGAGGGAGAAUUUGUUUUGUCUGGGAACAAUCCCCCUGAUACAUCAUCCAAUCAGAAGUGGAAAUUUGGCUCCAUGAAGCCAUUAGAUGGAAAAAAGUGGCUCCUGUACAGACACCACGAAAGGAUCCUAGAGAUACCUGGGAUCUUCACAGCAGUAUUUGUGGGAACAAACUAAGAAAGGGAAAAAUAUAGAACAAGUUUGGUCCCACCAUCCCUAUCGAAAAAUACUGGACCUUUGCAACAAUGGGAAGGAAAACUAGCUAGUUGUCACAGAUGGGGUGAGAAGUUGUGCUAUAGAUGCCUCCCUGGGUAAAUGCUGCUACAUCUACCACACAAAGCAAAGCUCCACAGCAAAGAAUUAUAUGACACAAGAUGCCAUCGCCAUAAGGGGAAGAAGCAUUGAGCCAGAAGAAGGUAUUUAUAACGGUGAAAAUUUUGAAACAUAGAAUACAUUUUGUGACUAAAUUCAAAACAAAGUCAACAAACUCUCGAUUUGGACUUAAAUGGUUAUUUAACUAAAAAUUGCAUCAUCUCCCCUCUCCCUUUCCUCCCUCCUCCCCGUCCUAUGCCUAC
This 594-nucleotide long non-coding RNA is filed under the name Cricetulus griseus (Chinese hamster). Its description in RNAcentral is "lncRNA (ENSCGRG00015042667.1)". Lineage: Eukaryota; Metazoa; Chordata; Mammalia; Rodentia; Cricetidae. The record is from RNAcentral.